This is a small nucleolar RNA of Leptobrachium leishanense (Leishan spiny toad), 74 nucleotides long. The record is from Ensembl. NCBI's taxonomy places the organism in Eukaryota, Metazoa, Chordata, Amphibia, Anura, Megophryidae.
GUUCAUAUGAUGAUUUUAACUGUUCAACUGCUGUGUGACUAAAGUGUGAACUAACAUUUAAACAUCUGAUGGGA